GAUGAACGCUGGCGGCGUGCCUAAUACAUGCAAGUCGAGCGAACGGACGAGAAGCUUGCUUCUCUGAUGUUAGCGGCGGACGGGUGAGUAACACGUGGAUAACCUACCUAUAAGACUGGGAUAACUUCGGGAAACCGUAGCUAAUACCGGAUAAUAUUUUGAACCGCAUGGUUCAAAAGUGAAAGACGGUCUUGCUGUCACUUAUAGAUGGAUCCGCGCUGCAUUAGCUAGUUGGUAAGGUAACGGCUUACCAAGGCAACGAUGCAUAGCCGACCUGAGAGGGGGAUCGGCCACACGGGAACUGAGACACGGUCCAGACUCCUACGGGAGGCAGCGGUAGGGAAUCUUCCGCAAUGGGCGAAAGCCUGACGGAGCAACGCCGCGUGAGUGAUGAAGGUCUUCGGUUCGUAAAACUCUGUUAUUAGGGAAGAACAUAUGUGUAAGUAACUGUGCACAUCUUGACGGUACCUAAGCAGAAAGCCACGGCUAACUACGU
This 496-nucleotide ribosomal RNA is filed under the name uncultured bacterium. RNAcentral describes it as "partial 16S ribosomal RNA". It matches the Rfam family "Bacterial small subunit ribosomal RNA", at positions 28 to 506 of the family's 1533-position model. The record is from RNAcentral.